UACGUAGGGUGCGAGCGUUAAUCGGAAUUACUGGGCGUAAAGUGUGCGCAGGCGGCAGAGCAAGUCGAGUGUGAAAGCCCCGGGCUUAACUUGGGAAUUGCGCUCGAAACUAUGUGGCUAGAGUGUGGCAGAGGAAGGUGGAAUUCCACGUGUAGCGGUGAAAUGCGUAGAGAUGUGGAGGAACACCGAUGGCGAAGGCAGCCUUCUGGGCCAACACUGACACUCAUGCACGAAAGCGUGGGGAGCAAACAGG
This 253-nucleotide ribosomal RNA is filed under the name uncultured bacterium. RNAcentral's name for it is "partial 16S ribosomal RNA". It matches the Rfam family "Bacterial small subunit ribosomal RNA", at positions 524 to 776 of the family's 1533-position model. The record is from RNAcentral.